Molecule: ribosomal RNA, 508 nt
Filed under: uncultured bacterium
Lineage: Bacteria
Description: partial 16S ribosomal RNA
Rfam family: Bacterial small subunit ribosomal RNA
Source: RNAcentral
GACGAACGCUGGCGGCGUGCCUAAUACAUGCAAGUCGAACGCUUCUUUCCUCCCGAGUGCUUGCACUCCAUUGGAAAGAGGAGUGGCGGACGGGUGAGUAACACGUGGGUAACCUACCCAUCAGAGGGGGAUAACACUUGGAAACAGGUGCUAAUACCGCAUAACAGUUUAUGCCGCAUGGCAUAAGAGUGAAAGGCGCUUUCGGGUGUCGUUGAUGGAUGGACCCGCGGUGCAUUAGCUAGUUGGUGAGGUAACGGCUCACCAAGGCCACGAUGCAUAGCCGACCGGAGAGGGUGAUCGGCCACACUGGGACUGAGACACGGCCCAGACUCCUACGGGAGGCAGCAGUAGGGAAUCUUCGGCAAAGGACGAAAGUCUGACCGAGCAACGCCGCGUGAGUGAAGAAGGUGUUCGGAGCGUAAAACUCUGUUGUUAGAGAAGAACAAGGACGUUAGUAACUGAACGUCGCCUGACGGUAUCUAACCAGAAAGCCACGGCUAACUACGUG